Homo sapiens (human) is the source of this 7838-nucleotide long non-coding RNA. RefSeq lists it as uncharacterized. The record is from RefSeq and is a predicted model, not a curated record. Lineage: Eukaryota; Metazoa; Chordata; Mammalia; Primates; Hominidae. The transcript is spliced from 2 exons.
CACUGUGCUCCAGCCUAGGUGACAGAGCAAGAUCCUGCCUCAAAAUCAACAACAACAACAAAAAAAAACUGAACAUCUCCAUAUUACUGACACCCAAUUCAAGAAACAAAAUAUUACAGCCCCUUCCAGGAUAUUCCUGGGGUCUCUUCCAUCUCUACUAACCCCUGACUACAAACAGCCUCCACCUAUUUCACCUGACAUUGUACUUUAUGAAAGCAGCAGUUCUCAGAUGGGGCUAUUUUGCCCCCUGGGGACAUUAGGGAAUAUCUGGAGACACUGAGGGUUGUGUCUACUUGGGGGGAGUUGUGUUACUGCAUCCAGUGAGUCCAGGGAUCCAGGGAUGCCGCUCAACAUCCUGAAAUGCACAGGGAACCCCCACACAUAGAACAGAGAAAUUGCUGAGCCAAAAUGUCAGCAGUGUCACAGCUGACACCCUGAUAUACACACUAUCACACAGUAUCUGCUCUUUCGGGCUCAGGAUCUUUUUCAUUCUAAUCAUCUCAUAGGAAACAGAAAUGUCAUUUAGAGGUAGGUAGAGUCCAAAUCAAAGAAGAACCUGAGUUUUUUUUUUUUUUUUUUUAAUCAGCCUGGUGCCUUUAGAGCUAGGAUUUAGUUUCUAUUCUUUCUGUCUCAUUUUCAAGUGAUUUUUUCUUCAAAUGGCAUCUACUGGGCUCAAGAACUGGAGAUCCCCACAAAGCUGAGAUUCACAUGGGAAUUUUGUACACACCCACACAGGUAUACACUUCCAUUUACAUGCAGACUUCCACCCACAGAUACACACAUCCGGAGACCAAGACAGAACGCAAACUGCCCCAUAAAAGCACGGUUCCCCAAACAGGAGAAACACACCAUUCACUCCAGGGAGGUAUCUAUUUGUUUAAUUCAGCCUCUGAUAGUCAGGCUGUUGCCAAGCCCAGCUCUGAAACUCUUCCCCUCUAGGAAAGAAAGAUGGAUUUUUUCUUUACUCAAGAAUAUAGAUCUAAAAAAAAAAAAACACUUCUGCAUCUCAAAGCAGGCUCUACCUCCUGAGCUACACGUAUUGAUCAGCUUUUUAUUGUCAAUUUUCUUUUAAUUGAAUUGGAGAAAAAUAUAAAUUAUGUUCUUACUGACAGUUUGGAAUCAGUUACACUAAAUCCAAUUCUCUGGGUUCUCAUGAUUAAGGUGUUUAAUUUGGGGGACAACAAAGCAAAAGCAUUGGUCGUGUUUUAAUAUAAUUAGUACAGGAUAUAUCUAAGGGGUUCAAGUAUCACUGUAGCAAGAAGCUCAUUCUGCAGUAAAAGGGGGAUUCUGCCACUAGGAUUGAGUGAGGGUGGUUCAUGGCUGCACCGUUUCAUCAAUGUCUCUUCAAGAGUCCAUGGAAUGUGGAAUGGGAAAGACUGAAAUAGUGCAAGUCUUGGCUAAGCUUCUAUUAAGGGGUGUUAGGAGCUGAUAAAAUAACCUGGUCUUUAUAGACAUCCCACACUGUAGUUCUCUAAGCUACAGAUUCUCAGAUUUUUCUAUUUUAUGAACGAGUAAAAAUAUUUUUUUAAUUUGAGAACCAACAUAAGGUUGCUAUCUUUUUUUUCUUUUGGGUAAGAAGGAACUUUUUUAAACUACCAGUUACACACACACACACACACACACACACACACACACACACACACACACAGAAAUUCCACCAUGAUUGGUCAGAAUAGGUGAGGUUUUGCUGCAAUAACAAACAACUCCCAAAUCUUGGUAACUUCAAACAUCAGAAGUUGUUUUUCUCACUCAUGCUUCAUCUGCAGGGAGGUGUGGGGUGCUCUGUUUCCCAUCAAACUUGCCCUAAGACUAAGGUUAAUGGGGGUUGCAAUACCUCGAGUAUCACCAAGCAGGGAACAGAGGGAGAAGAAUGUUAGAGAGUCUUGUACUAAGAAUUAAAUGCUCCAGGCUAGAAGUCUAACAUUGCACCUCUGCCCCCAGCCUCUUGGCCAGUACUAGCCACAUCCCCUCCCCCACCACAGGGCAAUACAUGAAGACAGGAGAAUUGGAUACAUUACAAAUUUCUACCCCAUGGCAUUUCAUAAAAGAGAAAAAAAUGCCAAUACAAAAAUGUUUUAAUAGAAUAGAAUAUAUACAUUUUUAGAAUAAAGAACAAUCCUCCAAAAAGGACAGCUGGUGGUCUCUCAACAAUGGGCACAUUUCUGUGACAUUUUCUCUGUUUUUCCAUUUUAUCCUUGACCUAUGAACAUUUUAUACAGAUGGUCCAAAGAACACCAUUUGGGGACCACUGCUGUAAUCAGGUGAUGAAAACGGCCCCAAGAACAGAGCACAGUCUCUUUAGCAAAGACCCAGCAGGGCCAGGGUGACCAUGUUCUCACCAUCAAUGUGCAGACAUCCACCUGCAGCAUCCUCACAUCCCAACAUCAAACAGUGGCUCUUUAUAGCUUGAUUCUAAUGCCCUUUGAUCUUCAUAAUCAUUGUAAAGCUCUCUGGCCCCAAGAUCUAACAUCGCCACUCUAGCUACAUCCUGCAACUGUUCACCUCUCCUGCCUCCUCAUCCCUCUAAACUUCUCUUCACAACCUCAUGUUUCCUUCUUGCUUUACCUUCCUGCUCAGCCUGGACCUUACAGUCACCUUCUUCUUGUAAUGUGCUCCUAAACUCUUUCUUCCCUUCCUUCAACCACACCCACCUGGAAAAUCUCCAUACUCCAUUGACGACUUGCCUCGCAACUGCCCAAGGGCUGCUGAAUGAUACUGGAAAGAAUCACAACAGGGAUCUGGUAGUUCCACUAAAUAAUCUCACCAUCCAACUCUAGGGCAGACUUCACUUCUGUUCAGCAAUAUUUUUAAGCAUCACAAAUAAAUUCCAAACCAUAUUUGCUAUAACAAUUGACUGUAAACCUCUUCCAUAUCUCAAAGCCCCCCAAACCCAGCCCUAGGGGUUUCAGAGCCCAGAGUUGAGUUCUCUCAACUCACUUCCAUCUCACCCCUAGAUCACUGUAUCUUGAUCCUCUUCCUCUGCCUUUCCCAUGUUAUAAGGAGAAGCAUCCUUCUCCUUUCCCAAGCUACCUUCUCCACUUGUGCCUCAUUUGAGACCUGCCUUUAUCACCCGUUCCCUUGGAACUCCCAUGACUCACCACCUUCACUUGUCAUUUCACUCAUAAAUAUUUUGCACCGUGUAUGUGCCAGGCGAUUAACAUAUAAUCAUGCUUAAGUCUCCACAUGCUAACAAGAAAAACCUUGAUUAUCCCUGCUAUGCCCUCAAGUCAUUACCCUCCCCGCUCCUUUCCUGUGUUCCCAAACUUUGUUGAUCUUCAUCAAUCCCUCUGAUGCAGAUGGCUCCGAAGUUUGCAUCCUAUUAGGUUGGUGCAAAAGUAAUUGCGGAUUUUGCCAUUAAAAGUAAUGGCAAAAACAGCAAUUAUUUUUGUAGCAGCCUAGUAUCUUUUCUCCUUCUACCAAACUUUGUCCCUGAGACAUCUCAUCACCUAUAACUACCUCCUCCAUGCAGUUGAUUCCCAGAUCUGUAUUAUUCUACUGAAAGUCCAUUCCCCAAUUUUCUCGGCUAGAAUAACAGAAACCCAAUUAGAAUUCAUGCUACCAGUUUCCCACCACCACCACCACCGUCGUCCUGCCAUUGUUAGCAAAACCAUCUCUUGAGUGGAGCUCAAAGAUUUGUAAUUUCCCACUCCCCAGAAAGAUAACUUCAGACUCAGCUUAGAAGUAAAGAUCCUCCAGAUAUGGCCUCAACUACCCUCCAACCCAUGUCCCCAGUGCAUCCCGUUGAUGCCCCCUUCAGUGGAGUUAAAAUGGAGUGAGUGUUUUUCUUUUCACAUACUCCUGGUGUUCUUCCACAAAUACAAUUUUCACCUCUAGAAUAUUUUCAAUGAUUCUCCAUGCUACACACAGAGAAAUCCAAACUCCCCAUCAGGACCCCAGUCUUCCCAAACCCUCUUUGCACUUUUCUGCCUCCAUGCUUUUCCUUGGGUCAUCCUCUUCUCUAAUAUAACCUUGUGUAUUAUUCUAGGUUCUCCAGAGAAAGAGCAGAGAGAUAGAGGUAGAGAUAUACACAUAGAGAGAGACAGAUUGAUUUGUUGUAAGGGAUGGCUCACCUGGUUAUGGAAGCUAAGGAGUCCUGGAGUCUGCAGCCAGCAAGCUGGAGACCCAGGACAGCCAAUGAUAUAGUUCCAACUCGAGUCCACAUGUAAAGUCAGGAGAAGAUUGAUGUCCCAGCUCAAAUAUAAUCAGGUAAAAAGAGCAAAUUCUCUGUGAUUCUACCUUUUUGUUUUGUUCAGGCCUUCAAUGGAUUGGAUGAGGCUCACCCACAUUGGGGAGGACAAUCUGCUUUAUUCAGUCUACCAAUUAAAUGUUAUCCUCAUCCAGAAUACCUCAGAGACACACCCAGAAUAAUGUGUAGCCAAAUAUCUGGGCACCCCACAACCCAGUCAAAUUGAUACAUAACACUAACCAUCAUGUCUUGCUUCUACUCUCUCGCCAUUUCUGCAUGGCCAAAUCUUUCCCUUAUUUCAAGGCUUAGUUCAAAUGUUACCUCUUAACUAAGCCUUCCCUGCUAACCCCAAAUAUUAAUAGAAUUGGUUUCUCCCUUCUCUGAUGUCUCAAAAUAUAUUGUGUUUCUCUUUUAUUGUAUUUAUUACAAACUCCCUUACAAAUCAAGACAGUGAUUCCCAGACAAAUUAUCACAAGAGUAUAAAAGAAGUCUUCUUUGAGUGUGAAAUAUCUCAUGGAAUAUAGCACAUGGCCUCUUCAUGAAGAAACUACUGGGAGAGAAGAAGACAAGCUGGAAGAGGCCAGGGAAAGGGGGAUCAACCACCAACAUGAAUGACACAGUGACUACCUGGACCAGGAAGUUCAUGACCAAUCGACCGUUCCAGAGGAAACAAAUGGUCACCAAUGUCCUUCACCCCGGAAAGGCAACAAAAUGUACAAGACCACAAUGGAUGUCAUCUUCAUAUUAAUAGUUGGACUCAGAACCCAUUUUGGUGGUGGUUAAACAAUCGUCACCCACAUUGGAGCGCAGUGGUACGAUCUCAGCUCACCAAAUCUCUGCCUCCCAGGCUUAAGCAAUUCUCCUGCCUCAGCCUCCCCCGCAGCUAGGAUUACAGGCACGCACCACUACUGCCUGGCUAAUUUUUAUGUUUUUAGUAGAGAUGGGGUUUCACCUUGUUGGCCAGGCUGGUCUUGAACUCCUGACCUCAAAUGAUCCACCCGCCUUGGCCUCCCAAAGUGCUAAGAUUACAGGCAUGGGUCACUGUGCCCAGCCUUUUCUGUAUUAAAUUUUUUAAAACACAACAUUUAAAAUAAUCAAGUCAUUCUUUUUGAAUCUACUUUGUAUUAUAGGUAUCCAAAUACUCACCUAUUCUCUCUCACAUGAUGACAAACUGGUUGAAAUGUCAUUUCAUUUUGUGGCUCCAGCCCCAGGGAUUCUGAGUCUGAUUCUAAAGGGCCUGCAUGCAGAGCAAGCAAGCCGCCUGGAUGAUUCUCUUACAGGUGUUUUAAGGGCAUCAGUUUGAGACACCCUGAUGCAAAAGAACGAACCCUCAAGGAAGUUGGCUGUACAUGUAUUUUCCUUCCUAGCACAGGAAAAGACAGAAAGAUUAUCCAAUCAGUACCACUCCUAGCACCUGAUUAUAUAUGUAUGAGGAAUUCAGAAAUGGUUUGAUCAAGGUUGAAGACCUAAAAAGUAGCUUUUCUCUCGGACACCAAGUCCCCAUCUCAUGCGUGGUUGAGUUAGUAGAAUCUGAGGAUGAUGCUUCUUCCUCCAGGAUUGGUAUCCUAUGGUUUUUGUUGUUCAGUAAAUGAAGUACCUCCAUCCCCCAACAUCCCCAAGCUCAAUUCCAGUUUCCUCACAUACACUUUUUUUUUUAUUUUUUUUUGAGACAGAGUCUCGCUCUGUCACCCAGGCUGGAAUACUGUGCAGUGGUGCAACCUCAGCUCACUGCAACCUCCACCUCCCAGGUUCAAGUGAUUCUCCUGCCUCGGGCUCCUGAGUAGCUGGCAUUACAGGCAUGCACCAUCACGCCUGGCUAAUUUUUGUAUUUUUAGUAGAGAUGAGGUUUCAUCAUGUCGUCCAGGCUUGUCUCAAACUCUUGGCCUCAAGUGAUCCACCUACCUCAGCCUCCCAAGUGCUAAGAUUACAGGUGUGAGCCACCGUGCCCAGCCUCCUCACUUACACUUUUACAGAAGAUCUGAUCAUACCCACUCCGCAGAAGUCAGAAUGGCCCCCACAUGGUGUUAAACGGGAGUGAAAACUUGAGUUCAAUCAACUGAGGGUGACACAGAAACAUUUCCCCCAAAAUGCUUUUGGCAGCUCUGCUGAUCCAUAACCUGGCUCCAUUUCAGGGCAAGACCUCCACUUAAGCUGCACUGGCUUCCACUAGAGUAAAUCACAUUAACUCAUGGCAAACACAACUGAAGGGCAAAAAGAUUCUUUUUAAAAGGAUUUUAGUCUCUCACUUACCAACACACCCUGGCCUCCCUAGAGCCGGACUCCAUUCAGCACCUGUUCCACUGAGCACCCACUGAAAGCUCAGCUCAUGAGCUGAGAUGACCCAGACAUCAAGGAGUUUACAAUCCAGGGGAAGAACAGACCUGAAUACAAGUGAUGACAAUACAAGACGGAGUCAAAGAGCCCAACUUGAAGUAUCAGCAGAAUAGCACCAAAGACUAGUUCCCAACCCAGCUCCCAGCGCCAGAGCCAGAGCCAGGCUGGCUGCAUGAGAUCAGCUGGGAGCUUUUGCAAACCUAGGUCCUAGCUAAGCCCCUAAUCAUCAGACUGGCAGUCACUGGGAGUGAGCUCCAGGAACUCUUUUAUUUAAUAAGCACCCACACACACAUGAUUCUGAUGUUCCUAAGGGUUGUAGAAACAUGGAACUAUAGAAAACACUUAAAAAAAAAAGGCACUAAAAGAAACCUAUAAAUAUUCACUACAAUCCCAGGCAUCAUGAGGACACUCCACGUGCACUAUUUACAAUACUUAGAAUAUCCUGCAAGGGAAGCAUUCAUUCAUGACGAUGGGCUUUAUUGGGAUCAGAGCCAGCCCUGGGAAUAUUUGAACCCGCGCUGAAAGUCACCCCUUCCUCCCCACAGGAGGGGGCUAACAUUAAGGAGCAGGGACCAGAUGGGAAAUGGAGUGUCCUUUUAUUAUGAGACCACAGUGAGAGGCUUUUUUUUUUUUUCCAGAGUCUUGUUCUUGCCACCCAGGCUGGCGUCCAGUGGUGCAAUCUCAGCUCACUGCAACUUCUGCCUCCCGGGUUCAAGUGAUUCUCCUGCCUCAGCCUCCCGAAUAGCUGGGACUAUAGGCACCCGCCACCACACCUGACUAAUUUUCGUAUUUUUAAUAGAGACAGGGUUUCACCAUGUUGGUCAGGAUGGUCUUGAUCUCUUGACCUCAUGAUCCGCCUACCUUGGCCUCCCAAAGUGCUGGGAUUACAGAUGUGAGCCACCACGCCUAGCCUCAGACUUUCAAGUAAAGCCACAAUGGACCACAGAGCUUAGACAUCAGGGCUAACAUGGAAUCUCUGUCAUUAAAUCUUGAGAUCUUACUAUCUUUGGUCAAAGAAAAAAAUAAUCACAAAUGACAUUUUGAGGACAAGACAUCUGAAUGUAAACUUGAUCUUAGAGGAUAUUAAGGAAUUACUGGUAAUUUGAUUAGGUAUGACAAUGAUCAUAUAAAAAGUGCCCUCAUGUUUUUAGAGGGAAAGUAAAUUACGUAGGGAUGAAUAUCAGGAUGCAAUUACAUAACUACUGUCAACUAUUUUGUAAAUACUUCAGAAAAACAAAUGAAGUAAAUAUUGCAAAUGUUAAUAGUUUUUAAAUCUAUGUGAUGGGUAUAUGAUAGCUCAUUAAACUGGUGUCUCUAC